Ceratotherium simum simum (southern white rhinoceros) is the source of this 124-nucleotide non-coding RNA. Lineage: Eukaryota; Metazoa; Chordata; Mammalia; Perissodactyla; Rhinocerotidae. The record is from RefSeq and is a predicted model, not a curated record.
UGUGUGUGUGUGUGUAAAGUCAAAGGGGAGUUAAUGAGGUAUUUUCACGAGUCAUCACGAGGGUUCUAGGAGCACCCAUAACACGAUAAGCCCCUAGAGUUAAUUUUAGACAAUGUAGAAAAAU